This 466-nucleotide ribosomal RNA is filed under the name uncultured bacterium. RNAcentral describes it as "partial 16S ribosomal RNA". It matches the Rfam family "Bacterial small subunit ribosomal RNA", at positions 28 to 507 of the family's 1533-position model. The record is from RNAcentral.
GAUGAACGCUGGCGGCGUGCUUAACACAUGCGAGUCGAACGAUGAAGCCCAGCUUGCUGGGUGGAUUAGUGGCGAACGGGUGGGUAACACGUGAGUAACCUGCCCUUAACUCUGGGAUAAGCCUGGGAAACUGGGUCUAAUACCGGAUAGGAGCGCCUACCGCAUGGUGGGUGUUGGAAAGAUUUAUCGGUUUUGGAUGGACUCGCGGCCUAUCAGCUUGUUGGUGAGGUAAUGGCUCACCAAGGCGACGACGGGUAGCCGGCCUGAGAGGGUGACCGGCCACACUGGGACUGAGACACGGCCCAGACUCCUACGGGAGGCAGCAGUGGGGAAUAUUGCACAAUGGGCGAAAGCCUGAUGCAGCGACGCCGCGUGAGGGAUGACGGCCUUCGGGUUGUAAACCUCUUUCAGUAGGGAAGAAGCGAAAGUGACGGUACCUGCAGAAGAAGCACCGGCUAACUACGUG